AUUAAGAAAGAGAGAAGAAAGGAAAGAGAAAUUAUUGCUUAACUAGUGCGCUAAAUUGUCUAAACACGGUAAACAACAUAUUAAAAAUAGGAGUUGAGCUGGAAUACUAUUGGUAGCAAACGGGUUCCGUUGUCAUCCAUUUGUUUUCAAUGAUGAGCCUCCAAAUCGAUGAUCGGCACUGUUGAAAAUAAUCUAUAUAGAAAUCAAAUUUCAUGCUUUUUCGAUAUUGUUCUCUUGUCCAUCAAAUGGGUGUAAAAAUGAAUGGCUGAAAAUGAAUAUCUUUUUAAAAAUGAUGAUACGAAUUUUCUAAUCAAGAUCGAGAGUAUAGAUCUUGUUCUAAAUAGUUUAAAGAAUUUUCUAACCAAAAUUCAAUUGAUGUGGAUAACUUUACACCGUUAAACGAAAAAACGCCUCAUAUCUACCAUUAAAAUUAUAAAUUUUGAAACUUUUUGAUCAUUAGGUCAAUAAUGUCGAAAAGAUUUGAAAUUUGGUUUCUAAAUAUUUCAAGUAGUAUAGAUCAUGUUUGUCACGCCCCGGGUUACAGCGGAAGCUUACCAGGCGCGUGCACAGACCCGCCGUGUACACCAAACACCCCCGAUGCAUACAAAGCGUCUACGACAAAACAUAAAGAAAAGUAUCAACCCACUUCAACAAAUUCAUGAUUUAGCGACAUUUACUCUGCAGCAUUUAUUUAAAUAACGCUAAUUAAUAUAUUGAACAGCAUUACUUGAUAAGUGACUCUAGAUUUAAUAAUUUAGCAGUAAUUUACUAUUAAUAUUGUAAAAUAGAAUAAAUUAGCUGCAUAAAUUAGUAAAUGCCGCUGAAGUUUCCAGCAUUUUAUAAAAAAUGACACUAAAUGUAAUAAAGUAGCAGCACUUAUUGCUAAAUACCACAAUAUUUGCUCCGUAAUAUUUAUUUAAAUCAUGCUAAUUAAUAUAUUUAGCAGCAUUACUUGAUAAUUACCGCUAGAUUUACUUAUUUAGCGGCAAUAUUUUAUUAAUGUUGCAAAAUAGAAUAAAUUAGCAGCAUAAAUUAGUGAAUGCCGCUAAAUAUAAUAAACUAGCAGCACUUAUUGCUAAAUAUCAUUACUAAUUAAUAUAUAAUUAUUAAUAUAUCCCUUUUUAUUUAGAAUUAAAAAUUUUAAAAUUAAAGUUUAAAAUUUGAAACAUAUAAUUUUAAAAAUUAAAAUUUAAAUUUAAAAUUUUAAAUUUUAAAAUCCAAAAUUUUUAAUUUUUAAUUUUUAAUUUUUAAAUUUUUAAAUUUAUUUUAAAUUUAAAAUUUCAAAUUUAAAACUAUAAAUUUUUGAAACUUAAAAUUUGAUAUUAAAAAAUAAAAAAUUUAAAUUUAGUAUCUAAAUUUAAAAUUUUAAAUUUUAAAAUAGAAGACUUAAAAUUUAAAAAAUUAAAAUGUACGUAACUAAUAGUCGCUAGCGCAAGUGGCAAAGGGCUUGGUGGUUGGUACUUGAGAUCUCAAGUUCAAAUCCUAGUUGAUUCACAUUUCCAGCAAAGUUUAUUUCUAAAAGAAAUAAACGAAACGUGUAUCACCUAAAAGAAAAUAAAAAAUUGGAUUUAAAAUAAAAUUUAAAAUUUAAAAUUUCAGUUUCUAAAAUCAAAUAUUUGUAUUAGCGGCAUUAUAUUUAUAUGCCACUAAUAAACAAUUUAAAAUUAGCAUUUAAUCACUUUUAGUGGUAUGUUCCUAAUGACACUAAUUGAUUUACAUUGGCGGCAUUUAUAAUGAAUACUGCUAAUACUUUUAGUAACAUUGGCAUAUCAGCAUUUGUUGAUCAUUUAGCAGCAUAAAUAAAUGCCACUAAUGACUACAGUAGCAUCCGUACGGAUGCUACAGUAACUUUUUUUUUUUUUUUUGCUUGAAACAAUAGAUUAAAUUGUUUAAUCAGUUUAUGAUUUUUUGAAUCAACAAAAAACGAUCUAUCAAUCGUUCGACCGGCGAAGAACGAUUUAAACUACCCAAUUCACAAUUUUAAUCUUGAAAAACAUGAGGAUGGCUAUGAUACCACUGUUAGAAAAUUGCGUACGGUAAAAACGUAGCGGAAAAAGAAAUCGUACAACUUUGAUUUUAAAAACUCUCGAGAUUCAGUCUAAAAUAUCAC
Molecule: long non-coding RNA, 2110 nt
Filed under: Ananas comosus (pineapple)
Lineage: Eukaryota; Viridiplantae; Streptophyta; Magnoliopsida; Poales; Bromeliaceae
Description: long non-coding RNA (ACOM_LNC023443)
Source: RNAcentral